GAUGAACGCUGGCGGCGUGCUUAACACAUGCAAGUCGAACGAUGAAGCCCAGCUUGCUGGGUGGAUUAGUGGCGAACGGGUGAGUAACACGUGAGUAACCUGCCCUUAACUCUGGGAUAAGCCUGGGAAACUGGGUCUAAUACCGGAUAGGAGCGUCCACCGCAUGGUGGGUGUUGGAAAGGUUUAUCGGUUUUGGAUGGACUCGCGGCCUAUCAGCUUGUUGGUGAGGUAUUGGCGCACCAAGGCGACGACGGGUAGCCGGCCUGAGAGGGUGACCGGCCACACUGGGACUGAGACACGGCCCAGACUCCUACGGGAGGCAGCAGUGGGGAAUAUUGCACAAUGGGCGCAAGCCUGAUGCAGCGACGCCGCGUGAGGGAUGACGGCCUUCGGGUUGUAAACCUCUUUCAGUAGGGAAGAAGCGAAAGUGACGGUACCUGCAGAAGAAGCACCGGCUAACUACGUG
This 466-nucleotide ribosomal RNA is filed under the name uncultured bacterium. Its description in RNAcentral is "partial 16S ribosomal RNA". It matches the Rfam family "Bacterial small subunit ribosomal RNA", at positions 28 to 507 of the family's 1533-position model. The record is from RNAcentral.